Molecule: ribosomal RNA, 1470 nt
Filed under: metagenome
Description: bacterial SSU rRNA
Rfam family: Bacterial small subunit ribosomal RNA
Source: RNAcentral
AGAGUUUGAUCCUGGCUCAGGACGAACGCUGGCGGCACGCUUAACACAUGCAAGUCGAACGAGAGAAGAGGAGCUUGCUUUUCUGAUCUAGUGGCGGACGGGUGAGUAACACGUGAGCAAUCUGCCUUUCAGAGGGGGAUACCGAUUGGAAACGAUCGUUAAUACCGCAUAACAUAAUUGAACCGCAUGAUUUGAUUAUCAAAGAUUUAUCGCUGAAAGAUGAGCUCGCGUCUGAUUAGCUAGUUGGUAAGGUAACGGCUUACCAAGGCGACGAUCAGUAGCCGGACUGAGAGGUUGAUCGGCCACAUUGGGACUGAGACACGGCCCAGACUCCUACGGGAGGCAGCAGUGGGGAAUAUUGCACAAUGGAGGAAACUCUGAUGCAGCGAUGCCGCGUGAGGGAAGAAGGUUUUAGGAUUGUAAACCUCUGUCUUCAGGGACGAAAAAAGACGGUACCUGAGGAGGAAGCUCCGGCUAACUACGUACCAGCAGCCGCGGUAAUACGUAGGGAGCGAGCGUUGUCCGGAAUUACUGGGUGUAAAGGGAGCGUAGGCGGGAUCGCAAGUCAGAUGUGAAAACUAUGGGCUUAACCCAUAAACUGCAUUUGAAACUGUGGUUCUUGAGUGAAGUAGAGGUAAGCGGAAUUCCUAGUGUAGCGGUGAAAUGCGUAGAUAUUAGGAGGAACAUCAGUGGCGAAGGCGGCUUACUGGGCUUUAACUGACGCUGAGGCUCGAAAGCGUGGGGAGCAAACAGGAUUAGAUACCCUGGUAGUCCACGCCGUAAACGAUGAUUACUAGGUGUGGGGGGACUGACCCCUUCCGUGCCGCAGCAAACGCAAUAAGUAAUCCACCUGGGGAGUACGACCGCAAGGUUGAAACUCAAAGGAAUUGACGGGGGCCCGCACAAGCAGUGGAGUAUGUGGAUUAAUUCGAAGCAACGCGAAGAACCUUACCAGGUCUUGACAUCGUAUGCAUAGCUCAGAGAUGAGUGAAAUCUCUUCGGAGACAUAUAGACAGGUGGUGCAUGGUUGUCGUCAGCUCGUGUCGUGAGAUGUUGGGUUAAGUCCCGCAACGAGCGCAACCCUUACUGUUAGUUGCUACGCAAGAGCACUCUAGCAGGACUGCCGUUGACAAAACGGAGGAAGGUGGGGAUGACGUCAAAUCAUCAUGCCCCUUAUGACCUGGGCCUCACACGUACUACAAUGGCUGUCAACAGAGGGAAGCAAAGCCGCGAGGUGGAGCGAACCCCUAAAAGCAGUCUUAGUUCGGAUUGUAGGCUGCAACCCGCCUACAUGAAGUCGGAAUUGCUAGUAAUCGCAGAUCAGCAUGCUGCGGUGAAUACGUUCCCGGGCCUUGUACACACCGCCCGUCACGCCAUGGGAGUCGGUAACACCCGAAGCCUGUAGUCUAACCGCAAGGAGGACGCAGUCGAAGGUGGGAUUGAUGACUGGGGUGAAGUCGUAACAAGGUA